This 107-nucleotide ribosomal RNA is filed under the name Phycisphaerae bacterium. Lineage: Bacteria; Pseudomonadati; Planctomycetota; Phycisphaerae. The record is from RNAcentral.
CCUGGUGUCCAUACGGUCGGGGAAACGCCUGAUCCCAUUCCGAACUCAGAAGCUAAGCCUGACCGGCCGAUGAUAGUCCUUUGGGCGAAAGUAGGUGAAUGCCAGGA